RNAcentral lists this unclassified non-coding RNA (357 nucleotides) under soil metagenome. RNAcentral describes it as "partial contains 5.8S ribosomal RNA, internal transcribed spacer 2, and large subunit ribosomal RNA". The stretch from base 1 to 120 matches the Rfam family "5.8S ribosomal RNA", at positions 35 to 154 of the family's 154-position model. The record is from RNAcentral.
GAUGAAGAACGCAGCGAAAUGCGAUAAGUAAUGUGAAUUGCAGAAUUCAGUGAAUCAUCGAAUCUUUGAACGCACAUUGCGCCCGUCAGUAUUCUGGCGGGCAUGCCUGUUCGAGCGUCAUUACGCCCCUCAAGUCCCCUGUGGACUUGGUGUUGGGGAUCGGCGAGGCUGGUUUUCCAGCACAGCCGUCCCUUAAAUUAAUUGGCGGUCUCGCCGUGGCCCUCCUCUGCGCAGUAGUAAAACACUCGCAACAGGAGCCCGGCGCGGUCCACUGCCGUAAAACCCCCCAACUUUUUAUAGUUGACCUCGAAUCAGGUAGGACUACCCGCUGAACUUAAGCAUACAAUAAGCGGAGGA